This 492-nucleotide ribosomal RNA is filed under the name uncultured bacterium. RNAcentral describes it as "bacterial SSU rRNA". It matches the Rfam family "Bacterial small subunit ribosomal RNA", at positions 28 to 535 of the family's 1533-position model. The record is from RNAcentral.
GACGAACGCUGGCGGCGUGCCUAACACAUGCAAGUCGAACGGGGAUAUGAUUUCGGUUGUAUCCCAGUGGCGAACGGGUGAGUAACGCGUGAGCAACCUGUCCUUUUGAGGGGGAUAACACUUGGAAACAGGUGCUAAUACCGCAUAAGACCACGGGUCCGCAUGGACCAGAGGUCAAAGGAGCAAUCCGCAGAAGGAGGGGCUCGCGUCCCAUUAGGUAGAUGGCGGGGUAACGGCCCACCAUGCCAACGAUGGGUAGCCGAGCUGAGAGGCUGAUCGGCCACACUGGAACUGAGACACGGUCCAGACUCCUACGGGAGGCAGCAGUGGGGAAUAUUGGGCAAUGGGCGAAAGCCUGACCCAGCAACGCCGCGUGAGGGAAGAAGGCCUUCGGGUUGUAAACCUCUGUCCUUGGUGACGAAAAAUAGACGGUAGCCAAGGAGGAAGACCCGGCUAACUACGUGCCAGCAGCCGCGGUAAACAUAACUCGUA